GAGUUUGAUCCGGCUCAGGAUGAACGCUAGCGGGAGGCCUAACACAUGCAAGUCGAACGGGAUUGGGAGCUUGCUCCCAUGAGAGUGGCGCACGGGUGAGUAACGCGUAUGCAACCUGCCUAUAACAGAGGGAUAGCCCAUAGAAAUGUGGAUUAAUACCUCAUAGUCCUUACGAACCGCAUGGUUUUUAAGGUAAAACCCCGGUGGUUAUAGAUGGGCAUGCGUGACAUUAGCUAGUUGGUGAGGUAACGGCUCACCAAGGCGACGAUGUCUAGGGGUUCUGAGAGGAUGAUCCCCCACACUGGUACUGAGACACGGACCAGACUCCUACGGGAGGCAGCAGUGAGGAAUAUUGGUCAAUGGGCGCAUGCCUGAACCAGCCAUCCCGCGUGAAGGAUGAAGGUCCUAUGGAUUGUAAACUUCUUUUAUACACCAAGAAAAACACCCACGUGUGGGUGCCCGACGGUAGUGUAUGAAUAAGCAUCGGCUAACUCCGUGCCAGCAGCCGCGGUAAUACGGAGGAUGCAAGCGUUAUCCGGAUUCAUUGGGUUUAAAGGGUGCGUAGGCGGCUUUUUAAGUCAGUGGUGAAAUCCUGCCGCUUAACGGUAGAAUUGCCAUUGAUACUGAAAAGCUUGAGUACAAUUGAGGUAAGCGGAAUGUGUAGUGUAGCGGUGAAAUGCUUAGAUAUUACACAGAACACCAAUUGCGAAGGCAGCUUACUAAACUGUUUACUGACGCUGAUGCACGAAAGCGUGGGGAGCGAACGGGAUUA
Molecule: ribosomal RNA, 772 nt
Filed under: uncultured bacterium
Lineage: Bacteria
Description: bacterial SSU rRNA
Rfam family: Bacterial small subunit ribosomal RNA
Source: RNAcentral